GCUGGAGGUGUGGGUACUGGAUUGGUUCUAAUUCUGGCUGGAUACUUGAGCCUUGGAGCCUUCAAGAAGAAGAAGAACUCCUAUCUUGCUCUGAUUCUUGAGACAGUAUGUAGCGGCGCACUCACGUGGGUGAUGGGACAGCGUUAUUUACAGACUUCAAAGAUCAUGCCGGCCGGAGUUGUAGCUGGAAUCAGUUCUCUCAUGACCUUAUUUUACCUGUACAAGCUUGCAACCGGCGGUAACCAUAUUUCUCCCAAGGCUGAGUGAUGAUUUCCAAUACUUUUUCUGAUAUUCGACAUGGGAAAUGCAUUGGAUCACACUACAAAGUCGAACAAUAUAUUAGUAUACAAACGAUUGUUGUUAUUGCUAACUUUGCAAAGGUUGGACGUGUAAACUAAAUGAUCAUUACUGAAUAUAAACUAGCUGGGGUUGAAAGUCUUAGAGUUCUCAUUUCAACGUGUUGUUGGCCGAGCUCUGAGCUGUUGCUCAAUGAGUCUACCCUUCUACAUGUGUACUUUCUUG
Molecule: unclassified non-coding RNA, 522 nt
Filed under: Hevea brasiliensis (rubber tree)
Lineage: Eukaryota; Viridiplantae; Streptophyta; Magnoliopsida; Malpighiales; Euphorbiaceae
Source: RNAcentral